GUGGGGAAUCUUCCGCAAUGGACGAAAGUCUGACGGAGCAACGCCGCGUGAGUGAAGAAGGUUUUCGGAUCGUAAAGCUCUUUCGUUAGGGACGAACGUGCUCUUUGUGAAUAAUGAGGAGUAAUGACGGUACCUAAAUAAGAAGCCACGGCUAACUACGUGCCAGCAGCCGCGGUAAUACGUAGGUGGCAAGCGUUGUCCGGAAUUAUUGGGCGUAAAGCGCGCGCAGGCGGGAUAUCAAGUCUGUCUUAAAAGUGCGAGGCUAAACCUCGUGAGGGGACAGAAACUGGUAUUCUUGAGUGUCGGAGAGGAAAGUGGAAUUCCAAGUGUAGCGGUGAAAUGCGUAGAUAUUAGGAGGAACACCAGUGGCGAAGGCGACUUUCUGGACUGUAACUGACGCUGAGGCUCGAAAGCCAGGGGAGCGAACGGGAUUAGAAACCCGUGUAGUCC
This 450-nucleotide ribosomal RNA is filed under the name uncultured bacterium. RNAcentral describes it as "partial 16S ribosomal RNA". It matches the Rfam family "Bacterial small subunit ribosomal RNA", at positions 354 to 796 of the family's 1533-position model. The record is from RNAcentral.